CCUACGGGAGGCAGCAGUGAGGAAUAUUGGUCAAUGGUCGGGAGACUGAACCAGCCAAGCCGCGUGCGGGAUGAAGGUACAGAGUAUCGUAAACCUCUUUUGUCAGGGAACAAAGGCGGGGACGCGUCCCCGGAUGAGUGUACCUGAAGAAAAAGCAUCGGCUAACUCCGUGCCAGCAGCCGCGGUAAUACGGAGGAUGCGAGCGUUAUCCGGAUUUAUUGGGUUUAAAGGGUGCGCAGGCGGUCUGUUAAGUCAGAGGUCAAAGCCCGGGGUUCAACCCCGGCCCGCCGUUGAAACUGGAAGGCUCGAGUUGGAGAGAAGUACGCGGAAUGCGCGGUGUAGCGGUGAAAUGCAUAGAUAUCGCGCAGAACUCCGAUUGCGAAGGCAGCAUGCCGGCUCCACACUGACGCUGAGGCACGAAAGCGUGGGUAUCGAACAGGAUUAGAUACCCGGGUAGUC
This 459-nucleotide ribosomal RNA is filed under the name uncultured bacterium. Its description in RNAcentral is "partial 16S ribosomal RNA". It matches the Rfam family "Bacterial small subunit ribosomal RNA", at positions 338 to 795 of the family's 1533-position model. The record is from RNAcentral.